This 278-nucleotide unclassified non-coding RNA is filed under the name plant metagenome. Its description in RNAcentral is "partial contains small subunit ribosomal RNA, internal transcribed spacer 1, and 5.8S ribosomal RNA". The record is from RNAcentral.
UUUCCGUAGGUGAACCUGCGGAAGGAUCAUUAUUGUAUAACCGAGGUGCGAGGGCUGUCGCUGACCCGAAAGGUCGUGCACGCCCGAGUGCCCUCACACACAUCCAUCUCACCCCUAUGUGCACCACCGCGUGGGUCCCCCUUUGGCUUGUUCGGAGGGGGGCUUACGUUUUCACACAAACUUUGUAUGCAGUGUAGAAUGUAUUUUUUGUUUUUGCGAUCACGCAAUCAAUACAACUUUCAACAACGGAUCUCUUGGCUCUCGCAUCUAUUAAAAAC